GGAGGAGUGGCGGAGCGGUCGAUCGCGCCGGUCUUGAAAACCGGAGACGGUUCACGCCGUCCGUGGGUUCGAAUCCCACCUCCUCCGCCA
This 90-nucleotide transfer RNA is filed under the name Amaricoccus sp. RNAcentral's name for it is "tRNA-Ser". It matches the Rfam family "tRNA". Rfam says of the family: Transfer RNA (tRNA) molecules are approximately 80 nucleotides in length. Their secondary structure includes four short double-helical elements and three loops (D, anti-codon, and T loops). Further hydrogen bonds mediate the characteristic L-shaped molecular structure. tRNAs have two regions of fundamental functional importance: the anti-codon, which is responsible for specific mRNA codon recognition, and the 3' end, to which the tRNAs corresponding amino acid is attached (by aminoacyl-tRNA synthetases). tRNAs cope with the degeneracy of the genetic code in two manners: having more than one tRNA (with a specific anti-codon) for a particular amino acid; and 'wobble' base-pairing, i.e. permitting non-standard base-pairing at the 3rd anti-codon position. Lineage: Bacteria; Pseudomonadati; Pseudomonadota; Alphaproteobacteria; Rhodobacterales; Paracoccaceae. The record is from RNAcentral.